ACCCGAAAGUGUGAUAGGGUUAUCCCGAGUGCCGUCCGAUGAGGAUGGCUUUUACUUGGUGUAAGGAGCCAGGGGAAUAAAGGGGGGGCAAGACUGGUGUCAGCCGCCGCGGUAAUACCAGCCCCCUGAGUGGUAGGGAUGAUUAUUUGGCCUAAAGCGUCCGUAGCCGGCUUAGCAAGCCUUUCGUUAAAUCCGAUGACUUAAUCAUUGGGCUGCGAGAGAUACUUCUAGGCUUGAGGACGGGAGAGGUCGACGGUAUUUCGGGGGUAGGGGUAAAAUCCUAUAAUCCUCGGAGGACCACCAGUGGCGAAGGCGGUCGACUAGAACGUGCCUGACGGUGAUGGACGAAAGCUGGGGGAGCAAACCGGAUUAGACACCCGGGUAGUCCCAGCUGUAAACGAUGCGGGCUAGGUGUUGGGGCAGCUACGAGCUGCUCCAGUGCCGCAGAGAAGUCAUUAAGCCCGCCGCCUGGGAAGUACGACCCGAAAGUACCCGAAAGUACCCGAAAGUACCCGAAAGUCA
This 522-nucleotide ribosomal RNA is filed under the name uncultured Thermoproteales archaeon. RNAcentral's name for it is "bacterial SSU rRNA". It matches the Rfam family "Archaeal small subunit ribosomal RNA", at positions 357 to 889 of the family's 1478-position model. Lineage: Archaea; Thermoproteati; Thermoproteota; Thermoprotei; Thermoproteales. The record is from RNAcentral.